CGGCGGACGGGUGAGUAACGCGUGGGUAACCUACCUCAUACAGGGGGAUAACAGUUGGAAACGGCUGCUAAUACCGCAUAAGCGCACAGUACCGCAUGGUACCGUGUGAAAAACUCCGGUGGUAUGAGAUGGACCCGCGUCUGAUUAGCUAGUUGGUGGGGUAACGGCCUACCAAGCCGACGAUCAGUAGCCGACCUGAGAGGGUGACCGGCCACAUUGGGACUGAGACACGGCCCAA
This 238-nucleotide ribosomal RNA is filed under the name uncultured bacterium. Its description in RNAcentral is "partial 16S ribosomal RNA". It matches the Rfam family "Bacterial small subunit ribosomal RNA", at positions 96 to 334 of the family's 1533-position model. The record is from RNAcentral.